RNAcentral lists this unclassified non-coding RNA (183 nucleotides) under soil metagenome. RNAcentral's name for it is "partial internal transcribed spacer 1". The record is from RNAcentral.
GUGAAUUGAACUAUGCUUGGUAGUCGGACCUCUUCGGCAAGGUCCCUUAGCAUUAGAAUCACUAUCCAUAACACCUGUGAACUGUAAGACUGUAUGAAAUGAAGGUCUUUGGCCAAGUCAGCGUCUGCCCAUUUUAUAACAAACAUUAAAUGUAACAAACGUAGUCUUACUAUAAUCCUAAUA